UGUAAUUCAUCUUUUUUCUUCAUCAUUCCACUUUUCUUGCUGAAGUUAGUUUUUUUUUCCAUAUUUCCUGGCCUAAUUAUUUGUAGUCAUUGUAGAAUUGUGUAAAUAAAUCUGUAAAUAAUGGAAAGAGAUCAUCUGAGGAGAUCAGACAGAGAGAGGAAAGUCCCCCAGAGAUUUCUGGAGAAGGAUGAACAGGAUGAGACCGGUGCAGCAACAUCCUCUCAAACACAGGAGGACACAAGCAGAAGUCAGAAGGCAAGCCAAGGGAGGAAACAAUGCACUCUGUGCAAAAGAUGUACACCCUGGAUGUGUUUGGAGUGCAAAGUUGGCCUCUGUCUUCAGCUAGACAGGAACUGCUUCACCAUCUACCAUGGCUGCUAAAAAACGCCUGAAAAUUUACAAAUAUAAAAGCCUCAAAUAUGAAAACUGAAAGCUGCAGGCAAACAAAACUUUUUGUGAUGUUGUAAAAUAGGUUAAAUUUCAUUUCUGUAAUAUUGGAUUUUUUGUUCCUAUACAUUUGAAUUGUUCAUAAAGCAAAACCUGGUGAUAUUUCAAA
This is a long non-coding RNA of Melanotaenia boesemani (Boeseman's rainbowfish), 556 nucleotides long. RefSeq lists it as uncharacterized. The transcript is spliced from 2 exons. Lineage: Eukaryota; Metazoa; Chordata; Actinopteri; Atheriniformes; Melanotaeniidae. The record is from RefSeq and is a predicted model, not a curated record.